AUUUAGAUAGCUUAUAUAGAGCAUGAUAUUGAAGAUAUCAAGGAAAUGUUUUAAUUUCUAAAUA
This 64-nucleotide transfer RNA is filed under the name Eriopis connexa. RNAcentral describes it as "tRNA-Phe". The record is from RNAcentral. Lineage: Eukaryota; Metazoa; Arthropoda; Insecta; Coleoptera; Coccinellidae.